Molecule: ribosomal RNA, 243 nt
Filed under: uncultured bacterium
Lineage: Bacteria
Description: partial 16S ribosomal RNA
Rfam family: Bacterial small subunit ribosomal RNA
Source: RNAcentral
UACGUAGGGGGCUAGCGUUGUCCGGAAUCAUUGGGCGUAAAGAGCGUGUAGGCUGCUCGGUAAGUCCGCUGUAAAAGUCAAAGGCUCAACCUUUGAAUGUCAGUGGAUACUGCCGGGCUAGAGUCCGGAAGAGGCGAGUGGAAUUCCGGGUGGUAGCGGUGAAAUGCGUAGAGAUCCGGAGGAACACCCAGUGGCGCAGGCGGCUCCUCUGGGUCGGCCCUGACGCUGAGGCGCGAAAGCGUG